This 457-nucleotide ribosomal RNA is filed under the name uncultured bacterium. Its description in RNAcentral is "bacterial SSU rRNA". It matches the Rfam family "Bacterial small subunit ribosomal RNA", at positions 29 to 531 of the family's 1533-position model. The record is from RNAcentral.
AACGAACGCUGGCGGCAGGCCUAACACAUGCAAGUCGAGCGAACCCUUCGGGGUUAGCGGCGGACGGGUGAGUAACGCGUGGGAAUAUGCCCUUUGCUACGGAAUAGCCCCGGGAAACUGGGAGUAAUACCGUAUACGCCCUUUGGGGGAAAGAUUUAUCGGCAAAGGAUUAGCCCGCGUUGGAUUAGGUAGUUGGUGGGGUAAUGGCCUACCAAGCCGACGAUCCAUAGCUGGUUUGAGAGGAUGAUCAGCCACACUGGGACUGAGACACGGCCCAGACUCCUACGGGAGGCAGCAGUGGGGAAUCUUAGACAAUGGGGGCAACCCUGAUCUAGCCAUGCCGCGUGAGUGAUGAAGGCCCUAGGGUUGUAAAGCUCUUUCAGCUGGGAAGAUAAUGACGGUACCAGCAGAAGAAGCCCCGGCUAACUCCGUGCCAGCAGCCGCGGUAAGUCACACU